UGCAAGUCGAACGAUGAAGCCCAGCUUGCUGGGUGGAUUAGUGGCGAACGGGUGAGUAACACGUGAGUAACCUGCCCUUGACUCUGGGAUAAGCCUGGGAAACUGGGUCUAAUACCGGAUAUGACCUUCCAUCGCAUGGUGGUUGGUGGAAAGCUUUUGUGGUUUUGGAUGGACUCGCGGCCUAUCAGCUUGUUGGUGGGGUAAUGGCCUACCAAGGCGAUGACGGGUAGCCGGCCUGAGAGGGUGACCGGCCACACUGGGACUGAGACACGGCCCAGACUCCUACGGGAGGCAGCAGUGGGGAAUAUUGCACAAUGGGCGCAAGCCUGAUGCAGCGACGCCGCGUGAGGGAUGACGGCCUUCGGGUUGUAAACCUCUUUCAGUAGGGAAGAAGCGAAAGUGACGGUACCUGCAGAAGAAGCGCCGGCUAACUACGUGCCAGCAGCCGCGGUAAUACGUAGGGCGCAAGCGUUAUCCGGAAUUAUUGGGCGUAAAGAGCUCGUAGGCGGUUUGUCGCGUCUGCUGUGAAAGACCGGGGCUCAACUCCGGUUCUGCAGUGGGUACGGGCAGACUAGAGUGAUGUAGGGGAGACUGGAAUUCCUGGUGUAGCGGUGAAAUGCGCAGAUAUCAGGAGGAACACCGAUGGCGAAGGCAGGUCUCUGGGCAUUAACUGACGCUGAGGAGCGAAAGCAUGGGGAGCGAACAGGAUUAGAUACCCUGGUAGUCCAUGCCGUAAACGUUGGGCACUAGGUGUGGGGGACAUUCCACGUUUUCCGCGCCGUAGCUAACGCAUUAAGUGCCCCGCCUGGGGAGUACGGCCGCAAGGCUAAAACUCAAAGGAAUUGACGGGGGCCCGCACAAGCGGCGGAGCAUGCGGAUUAAUUCGAUGCAACGCGAAGAACCUUACCAAGGCUUGACAUGGACUGGACCGCUCUGGAAACAGGGCUUCCCUUCGGGCUGGUUCACA
Molecule: ribosomal RNA, 967 nt
Filed under: Arthrobacter sp.
Lineage: Bacteria; Bacillati; Actinomycetota; Actinomycetes; Micrococcales; Micrococcaceae
Also listed under: 1 other name
Description: bacterial SSU rRNA
Rfam family: Bacterial small subunit ribosomal RNA
Source: RNAcentral